RNAcentral lists this ribosomal RNA (555 nucleotides) under Bifidobacterium adolescentis. RNAcentral describes it as "bacterial SSU rRNA". It matches the Rfam family "Bacterial small subunit ribosomal RNA", at positions 146 to 711 of the family's 1533-position model. Lineage: Bacteria; Bacillati; Actinomycetota; Actinomycetes; Bifidobacteriales; Bifidobacteriaceae. The record is from RNAcentral.
UCUCCUGGAAAACGGGUGGUAAUGCCGGAUGCUCCGACAUGACGCAUGUCGUGUCGGGAAAGAUUCAUCGGUAUGGGAUGGGGUCGCGUCCUAUCAGCUUGAUGGCGGGGUAACGGCCCACCAUGGCUUCGACGGGUAGCCGGCCUGAGAGGGCGACCGGCCACAUUGGGACUGAGAUACGGCCCAGACUCCUACGGGAGGCAGCAGUGGGGAAUAUUGCACAAUGGGCGCAAGCCUGAUGCAGCGACGCCGCGUGCGGGAUGACGGCCUUCGGGUUGUAAACCGCUUUUGACUGGGAGCAAGCCCUUCGGGGUGAGUGUACCUUUCGAAUAAGCACCGGCUAACUACGUGCCAGCAGCCGCGGUAAUACGUAGGGUGCAAGCGUUAUCCGGAAUUAUUGGGCGUAAAGGGCUCGUAGGCGGUUCGUCGCGUCCGGUGUGAAAGUCCAUCGCUUAACGGUGGAUCCGCGCCGGGUACGGGCGGGCUUGAGUGCGGUAGGGGAGACUGGAAUUCCCGGUGUAACGGUGGAAUGUGUAGAUAUCGGAAAGAACACCA